UGAAUUUUAUUACAUUUAUAGUUGUACAACAAUCAUCACAACCUAAUUUUAUAGCAUUUCCAUCCCAGACCCCCAGUGUGCCCCCCACCCCCAACCUGUCUCCUUUGGAAAGCAUCAGUCUUUCAGAGUCUGCAUCAGUGUCUGUUGUGCAAAGAAGUUCAGUGUGUCCUGUUUUAGAUCCCACAUGGAAGUGAAAGCAUUCGAUGUUGGUGACUGACCUCGCUUAGCACAAUAAUUUCUAGGUCCAUCCGUGUUGCUGCAAAUGCCGUUCUUUCUUUCCUUUCAACGGCUGAGUCGCAGUCCAUUGUGUGUAUGGACCACAUCUUAACCCACUGGUCUGGGUAGAUGUUCAGCUUGUUUCCAUGUUUGGCUGCAGUGAGCACAGGGGUACGUGUAUCUUUUCUGUUUUUUCUUUUCCAUGUAUCUUUUUGAAUGAAAGGUUCUUCUGCAUAUGUGCCCAGGAGUGGGAUUGCUGGAUCGUAUGGUAGUUGUGUAGUUUUCUGCGGAAUCUCCAUGCUGUUUCAUAGUGGUUGGACCAUAGGAGGACACCCUUUCUCCACCCCGCCUCCAGCAUUUGGUAUUUAUAGACUUACUAAUGACGGCCAUUCUGACCAGUGUAAAGUGUUACCUCAUUGUAGUUUUGAUUUGUGUUUCUGUAAUAAUUAGUGAUGUUGAGCAUUUUUUCUUGGGCCUGUUGGCCAGCUAAUAUGUCUUCCUUGGAGAAAUGUCUUUUUAGGUCUUCUGCCCAUUUUUCAUUUGGGUUAUUUAUUCAUUUAUCUUUUGGUGUCAAGUUGUAUGAGUUAUUUGUAUAUUCUGGAGAUCAAGCCCUUCUCGGUUGCAUCAUUUGAAACUAUUUUCUCCUAUUCCGUAGAUUGUCUUUUCAUUUCAUUAACUGGAGUUCUUUUGUAAAAAAGAGCAGUUCUUUGUCCACCAUUUAUUCAGUUAUUUAUAUCAGUGUGGAUUUGUGGGUGUUUGAUUCUAUGAGUCAUAACCAGGUAACUGUUACUCUGUUGCUCAGACUGUUAAGGUUCCUCCUGUCUGUCCCCUUUUGACCUGCUGUGUCCUUUUUUAAGCAUUUCGGGACUCUGGCACCGCCAGAGGCUCCAGGCUCCUUUCACGGAGACUGGUAUGUAGCCACCAAGAUCUCGCCCGUGGGUGUGCUCAUUGCUCCAGGGCUGUUACUGCUUCGGGGCCCUUCCCAGACAGAGCUGGAAAGUACAUAUACUAAGUCAUGCACAUAAACCUGUGUUCACUUCUGUAAUGAGCUAGCUGUAUACAUUUAAAAAGCUGUGAGCUCAGCAGCUCAGCGGUUUAGCAAACCCAACUAGCAUCCCUGAGGAUGCAGGUUCAAUCCCUGUCCUGGCUCAGUGGGUUGAGGAUCCGGCGUUGCCAUGAGCUGUGGUGUAGGUCACAGCUGCGGCUCGGAUCAGGCGUUGCUGUGGCAUAACCUGGCAGCUGUAGUUCCUGUUUGACCCCUAGCCUGGGAACCUUCAUGUGCUGUGGGUGCGGCCCUAAAAAGCCAAACAAUAAUAACAAAAAUGGACAAAAAACUUGAAUAGAUGUUCUACCAUAAGAGACUCUUCAUCAGGGAAAUGAAAUCAGCAUUGAGGCAGCAUGUCACACCCACUCGGACAGCUUCGGUCAAAAAGACAAUGCCAAGUGUUGGCAAGGGUGUGCCCAGUUAGAACCUUCUCUGGAUUGCAAGAUGGUCCAUCCGCCUGCAAAGUGGGGAAUUCCACUCCUCUCGGGAGUGAACCCAGGACAAAGGAACAUGCCUUCAGGCCAGCAAAGUGCAGAUGUUCUGACAGCAAAAAGGAACCCAAAGUCCAUCAACCAGCAAGUGAAUACAGCAAAAUGGGCCACUGUACUUACACAAAAACCAGGACGCUCUAGAUGGAACCCAGACCGUCAGGUGAGCUCGCAGAUGCAAGAUCCUCUAGGUGGUGUGAGUCCACGGACCCCAAACUAACGUCCAGGAAGGAGGAUGUACAGAUGCGGAAAGCGGGACGGGGUUGCCAGGGUCUGGGGUGCGGCGGGGAGGCUGGAGUGGGCACCGACCACAGGCAUCUCAAGGGGACGUUAUUGGAGUGAUCAUUAGGCACGUCCACAGAUUGGCGAGGAAAUCGUUGAAUUGUACACUUUCAGUGGGUGGAUUGUGUAAAGGAUCCCUUAGUGACGCUGUAAGAGAACCGGUUGCCUUUCUGUGUCAUUAAAUACUUUUACUUGAAUAAUGUGAAAAGUUUUCAUUCAUCACAGGGUUUUUUUACUUUGGGGGGUGGUUAGGGCUGCACUCACAGCAAACAUAUGGAUGUUCCCAGGCUAGGGGUCGAAUCGGAGCUGCAGCUGCCAGCUUACACCACAGCCACAGGGUAUCAGAGCUCCAUCUGGGACCUAGGCCACAGCCUGGAGCCAGGCCAGGCCUGUGUCAGGUUCUUAACCCAGAGCCACAACGGGAGCUCCUAGAUGAGAAGUUUGAUGGACAAUGUGCCACUGGAAGAGAAGGAACAACUGGUAGACGCCCUCCCUGAGAGUAACUGUGACUCCUUAGAGACCUCUGAGCCGAGCGCCUCAAAGCCUUUGCUACGGGACCUGACUGCGCUGCUGGGAGCUGCUCCCGCUGUUCCAGACGGCGUGAGUCCCUGUCACAGAGAAGGCAGCUUCCUGCUCACGCUUGUCUGGAGACCUGUGGCCAGAGUGGAGCGGUUCGUAACCUCCUUCCCUGCUGUGGAAUUGUGUGUUGGCUACACCUUCACCUGUCUCCACCCCUGAGACUCUCACCCGCUCUCACGCUUGGGCUCUGUGGCAAACUCUGCCCUUGAACCUGGCCUGGCUGAACUUGGGCUUGGGAGCAAGGAGCCUCAGAAGGCCUCUUGGAGCACUUGCUCGCGGAGUGCAGCUGCCAAAAUGCCACGAGAGAGGGUGUGGAAGGCCCUCGGGCUGACAGUCUCUGGGUUUGCUUCACACUUGCUGCAUGUGGAGAAAGGAGGGCACAGAUCAAACAAGACGGGCCACAAGCUGGUACCUGCAGAAGUGGGUGGCAGGUCCACUGGGCUUCUUAACCCCAUUCUUACUACCUCGCGUGGGGGCUGCCCCCUUGUUCUGGUGCCCCUGUGGGCGCCCAUCACAUUGUACCAGACACGGUCUGUGUCGCCAGCAGGAGAGGCAGCAGUGGCGGCACGUCUGACACGACGCUGUGAGGGACACUAAGGCUGUGUCUUGAGCUUACUCUUGUUCUGAGGCCUCACUCGGGAGGGAGGCCGAAGGAAGCAGGGAACUGAAUCCUCCUCCCCAAAGGGAGGACCCGAGCCUCCUGCCCACAGCGCAGGCAUGAGCUUGAAUUCCUGCAGAUGUCCAAAGACCAAGUCCAUGGUUCCCAGCUUGACCACAGCCUCAUACAAAACCCAAAGCCACAACUACCCUGCAGAGGGGCUCCCUGAUCCUUGGACACUAUGCAAAAUAAUAAAAUUGGUCGUUUCAAGUGGCUAAAUUUCAUGGCCUGCUUUUACACAGCAACAGACGAUGUAUGUAAGAGCCUGGUAUUUUUUUAAAAAGCACUUGGGGGAGUUCCCGGUGUGGGACCCAGCGAAAACAAAUCCGACUAGGAACCAUGAAGUUUUGGGUUCGAUCCCUGGUCUCACUCAGGGGGAUCCGGAGUUGCCCUGACCUGUGGUGUAGGUUGCAGACUAGGCUUGGAUCCCGUGUUGCUGUGGCUGUGGUGUAGGCCAGCAGCUGUAGCUCUGAUGUGACCCGCAGCCUGGGAACCUCCAUAUGCCACGGCUGCGGCCCUAAAAAAAGCGAGAGAAAAAAAAAAAAAAAAGAAUAA
This 3823-nucleotide long non-coding RNA is filed under the name Sus scrofa (pig). RNAcentral's name for it is "lncRNA (ENSSSCG00055029979.1)". The record is from RNAcentral. Lineage: Eukaryota; Metazoa; Chordata; Mammalia; Artiodactyla; Suidae.